UUGUUUGCUGUACUGUGAGGAAGAAGGAGUCAGGAACUGUUGUGAGGAACUACCCAUGAGAAAUCACCAAGAAGGAAAACUCUCCUACAAGGUGUGGAGGAGACAGUCACUGGCUAAAAUCUGAGUCAUCUUUCCCACACAUCGCUGAGCUGAAUCACUCUGCAAAACACAUUGAAAAGAUUUGGCUUCCUCUGGCAUGCAGGGUCUAUUGAUUUGAAAAUCACCUUAUCAGCAGCAGAUACAAGUGAAAAAUUAAAUCAGACCUCUAUUUCUGCUUGGAUGACUUAUAGAAUAUUCCUCCUACCAGGCUUUGGCUGUGGCAGAUGUUGAAAUCUCCUCUGUGUGCAGAAGCUGAGAGUUCCCCUUUCCAGGUUGUCAUGGUUCUUGUAAGAAAACAACUGAUCCUGUUCCUACUGCAAAUUGCUGUGGGACCAUUUGGGGCAAGCCAGCCUCCUCAUCUGAGAUCAGAUAGAACUAAAUAAACCGGGCCUCAGACUCUGGGGACCCUGAAUCCAAAUUUGUGUACUAUGGGAAAAUGAGAAAUCAUCAGGCAGAUGCAGUUUUAUCCCACCACUAUCUCCAGUCUCAGUCAUACCCAGCAACUUCUCAAUUCCCUGUACUGAGAUCUUCAGUAAGAGCCAUCACUAUGCCACAGGAAUGGACCAGGAAAAAUGGAGAGUUCUCACUAGCA
Molecule: long non-coding RNA, 691 nt
Organism: Zonotrichia leucophrys gambelii
Lineage: Eukaryota; Metazoa; Chordata; Aves; Passeriformes; Passerellidae
Exons: 5
Source: RefSeq, a predicted model, not a curated record